UUCAGCAAGAGAAGAAUAUGAAGCUGCAAAAAUCAAGAGGAAAAGAGCAACAUCAUGACACGGUUUCAGUUGCCUAGGUCAUAUGAUGAAUUUCAUGUUUUUUUUACAUGAGCACGUUGAUUGGAUUACGUACACAUAACUAUAUAUGUUCAAUCGAUUCUGAGAAGAAGAAAUAAGCAUAAUUUCAAUCUUGGAUAUGCAUACACUGGUGGUGUUCCUUAAAAUUGCACAAAAAUAAUAACAAAGAUGAAUUGGAGAUAAUUCACAUCCCAGCCGUAGCCUCUCUCACCUCUCAAUCUCUCAUAUGACAGCAGCGUACAAGUAGACCACACAGAGCAGAGCACGCAGCCCGGAAUAGUAGCGUCCCCCACACACACCGCACACAGGACACAACGCCAUCACCAGACGUGANGAGAGGGGGUCUAACCGACGAGGCAUCGGCGGUGUGGAGUGGUUUCGAACAGGCUGGAGAAGUCGGACUAGGGUCUGAGACGGGAGCGGCCUCGUGAUCUUGGUUGUGCCGAGGAGGAACGGCGCUGCUCCCACACAGACCUCUUGGUCUUAAACAGUGCCGGAUUGGGCCACGUGGGGGAGCCGUGGGGCUAAAUUUUAUGUUUUGACUUUUUUAAAGAAAUUGAUCGAGAUCUGACCCUAAUUUGUGAAAAAGUUAAGAUCUGACGCUUUUCCUAUCGCGGAGUCCAUGGCAGUGAGGUUGCAUAUCCUAUCGCAAAUAUUUCUAAGUUCCAAACACAGAGCGCGUACGCACCCUACCGCCACGCACCUUAAUGGUAGCUAGGUUGCAUAUGAU
RNAcentral lists this long non-coding RNA (808 nucleotides) under Hordeum vulgare. RNAcentral's name for it is "long non-coding RNA (HVUL_LNC008192)". Lineage: Eukaryota; Viridiplantae; Streptophyta; Magnoliopsida; Poales; Poaceae. The record is from RNAcentral.